UUUUUAAUAAAUUUCAAAGUGCAAAAACUGGCAUCAAUGUAGCCAAAUUAUUAGCCAAGAUUGCAUAUUCUCACUGCAGAAGCCUGUGGAAACAAGUCCUAUUAUCUGCAAAUCUGAAGCUCAUCCUGCAAGAUUAACCUCUUGAGGAAGAUUUACUCUGAGAUAAAAGAGGA
Long non-coding RNA from Nothoprocta perdicaria, 173 nucleotides. RefSeq lists it as uncharacterized. The transcript is spliced from 2 exons. The record is from RefSeq and is a predicted model, not a curated record. NCBI's taxonomy places the organism in Eukaryota, Metazoa, Chordata, Aves, Tinamiformes, Tinamidae.